Molecule: ribosomal RNA, 624 nt
Filed under: Conidiobolus incongruus
Lineage: Eukaryota; Fungi; Entomophthoromycota; Entomophthoromycetes; Entomophthorales; Conidiobolaceae
Description: eukaryotic LSU rRNA
Rfam family: Eukaryotic large subunit ribosomal RNA
Source: RNAcentral
UAACCAUGAUUCCCUUAGUAACGGCGAGUGAAGUGGGAAGUGCUCAAAUUUAAAAUCCCAUUAGGGAGUUGUAAUUUAGAGAACGUUUUGCAUGGGAGUGGAGAUUAAAGUCUGCUGGAAAGCAUGCGCUAGAAAGGGUGAUAGCCCCGUUCAAUCUCUUACGACCUAAUCAGCGGACGUUUCAAAGAGUCAGGUUGCUUGGGAAUGCAGCCUAAAUUUGGUGGUAAACUCCAUCUAAAGCUAAAUAUUGAUCAGUGACCCGAUAGCAAACAAGUACCGUGAGGGAAAGAUGAAAAGAACCUUGAAAAGGGGGUUAAAAGUACGUGAAAUUGUUAUUAGGAAAGCACUUGGCGCUAUUGUGGAUUAGGUGAGUCUGUUUCGGCAGAUACUGACCUAAUUAGUCAUGAUCAGUUAGAGUUGGCAAAAAAACCAGAUUGAAAGGUAGUAGGGUAAACCUACACUUAUAGGCUUUCUGAACUUUGCUGAUUCUGACUGAGGAAUGCUUCUUAAAAUUACAUUGUGCUAAGGUUUAUGGAAAGUUGCUAAGCCAGCACGCUGAUUAGUACCUCGAAGUGACCUUUGUAUAAUGUCAUUUAAGAACAGGAUCAUGAUUAAAUAGUUCCA